CAAACGAUCAGUCAAUAGUCGUACUAAUAUUCUCUUUGCUUCAUCACCUAGAGCAUAUCAACAAGCUCAAGACCAAAGCAAAAAUCAGUCACAAUUAUCUUCUCUUUCCUUCACCUCGCCUAAAAUGGACAAGCUCAAUGAAUCAGUCAUCUUCUCAUGGGUUUAGCCCGCAGCUCCGAAGCCGGGAAAUCUCAGAUAAAGGACCAAGAUGUGUUUCCAGGUCUCAUUAACAGAAAUGGUGUUAAGAUUUAUGCAUCUCGUCGAUUUUUAUAAGCGUUAUCUUCCAAAACGCCCCAUAUUUUCUCUGAUUUCACCUUGUUAAAGCCUUCGCCAUUUACUUCUUCACUUCGUUCCUGGUGGAUCCCUUUCGGAGAAUGCACUUGUUGAGGCACAUGAGGGAUCACGUAGCAGAGUUGGCAAAGAAAGAUACAGGAAUGAUAUUUGAUGCCUUGAGGAUUGCUGUUUAAUUUGUUCCAAAGAGGGGAUAUUAUUUAUUCACGGUUCAGAUUAGCCUAUUUUUCAUUAUGCUUUAUUGAAUUGGAGAGAAGCAUUUGUAGCUUUUCAAUAAGGCCUGUUUUAUCCAAAGUAGAGUAAGAACUUAAAUGAAUUGAUCUUUCUUUAUUGAUUUACAUGAUAGUAUUCAGAGUUGUUUGAAA
Nicotiana tabacum (common tobacco) is the source of this 656-nucleotide non-coding RNA. The record is from RefSeq and is a predicted model, not a curated record. Lineage: Eukaryota; Viridiplantae; Streptophyta; Magnoliopsida; Solanales; Solanaceae.